AAAAAAGAGACAUUUUAAUUGGAUAAUAAAGUCAUACGAGGGACGAGUAAGGCCCCAAAGCAAUACAUUCUUGGCCAGUCAUGGACUGUUCAAGACACUGACUCAGAGCUCUGGGCCAAACCUCUGUCUUGAAUAUAUUUUAAUUAAGAUAUAAUGAAAUAUAUUUAAUUAAAAUGAAAAUGAAAAUUUAAACAUUUUUUAAAAAUUUAUUUUUAAAAACAUUUUUGUCUUUUUUUAGGGCCGCACCUAUGGCAUAUGGAGGUUCCCAGGUGCAGCCCUAAAAAGAAAAAAAAGGAAAAAAAAAAGAAAAAGAGGGGUCUUGCAGAGACCACUGAUGAUGUGCCUUGAAUGGAAGAGGUUUCAUGAUAGAACUCAGAAGAAAAAGACACUGGGGUUCCCAUCGUGGCUCAGCGAGUUAAGAACCUGACCAGUAUCUGUGAGGAUAUGGGCUUGAUCCCUGGCCUCUCUUAGUGGGUUAGGGAUCUAGCAUCGACAUAGCUGCAGUGUAGGUCACAGAUGUGGCUCUGAUCUGGCGUUGCUGUGGCCGUGGCGUAGGCCAGCAGCUGAAGCUCUGAUUCGACUCCUAGCCUGGGCACUUCCAUAUGCUGCAGGUGCAGCCCUAAGAAGAAAAAAAAAGUCCAGCAUCCACUGAGAAUGUGUUUCCAUACAAAGUCUGCGCACACCUGAAGGACGAAGAGGGAGCACGCAGGCGUGGGAAGGAGAGCUGCAGUGCGGUAGAUGACAGCCUCAGGGCUCCGAAUACUCUUCACAAUUCUUCUUAACCUCCUUAGUAGCCCCUGGCCACCCUCGACUCUAUCGAUCCAGCCCUCAGGCGUCUAUGCAGACUGGGGCGUCCACUGCGCACUUCUCUGCCCUCUGUCUGGCGAAUUCCCACACUUCGUUACAACUCAGCUUAAACACUGCCCCCCCACCUCACCCCCCGGCAGGAGGCAUCCCCCUGCCUCCCAGAGCUGAUUCACUGCCUCUUCUUAUCUUUCCCAGACAACCAGUGAUGGCUCGAGCUGAGCUGCUUCCACACUAGUCUCUUCUUAGAAGCACAGCCUUUCAGGGAGUGGAGAGAAACACUGGGGCCGUGCCAGCCAAGGGAGGAAAGUCUGGCCUGGGAGAGGGGAGAGCUGGGGUGGACUGGACAGUGAAGGGGGUGAGGCCCCUGGGUGAUUUUUGCCUUGGCUUUCCCUUUCAAUUCCCUAGCCCAGCCCUGCCAAGCCAACCAAUUCUGUCAAAUCUUAUUUCUCAGGUGCCUGUGAUCCCAAGACACCGUGGUGCGGGAUUGCAACGCCACGGCCAUUCUUUGAGUGUUGGACCCAGGCAGGGAGGGAAGGCUUGGACGUGAGCAAUGUCAGAUAACAGUGGCAGAAUAGAGUGAAAGACAGCAGAACAGGACAGCAGAAAAGGGAUGGCCUGUGGGCACUGAAUGGUCUGGGUGCAGGGGGCAGGUGCCUGCAGGGGCUGCAAAGGGAAGUCCUCUGAGAACCGGCCCAAUGUCCAGGAGGAUGCAGGCUGGAUGGGGAAGGGGGACUGCAUGCGAACGGUCCACGAGGAGCCCCCGGAUUGGAGGCCAGAACAGAAGAAAACAUCAGGGAGUCUGGGAGGGUUAUCAGGGCCAGAAUUUUGAGGCCCUCGCAAGCCAGGCAGAGGGACAGUGCUGGGAAAACGGCGGUGAGAAAUGCAGAAAGCCGCGCAGCUGAUGAGAGGUGUUUAGGGGGAAAUGGGUCUGGGGGCGGCCCUUCGGGAGGCUGAGGGAAAGAACCCAGUUAGUAAACUCCUCCGAAAUCACAGCCGGGCAGGAGGCACAUGGUACUAGAGUCUCACGUUGUGUCCCCCCCCACCCCAGUCAGCACGACUGACAUCAGCAGCUCACUGGAGCACACUUGCCCCUGACUCCAGGUGCAACUCCAGAGGGUUUUUUAGGCCACUCUGGGCUCCUGGCAGCCCCUACCGAUCCAUCCAGGGUGAUGGGUCAAAUCUCCCCGCCUUGCGGGUUCGAUCAGUCAGGCGAUGUUAUGGGGAACUGACACGCAUCCUCAAAUUCCAGUGGCUUAAAGCGGUGAAGGUUCAUCGCUCAUUCAGGCUACCUGUCCAUCACAGUUGACCAGAGAUGGCUGUCAGCCAGCACCGUCCAGACAGACUGACAGGGCAGCCCCUUCACAGGGCACUGCUGGCCACCAAGGCAGGGGAGAGAGAGAGAUACAUCUUUGGAAGGUCUCUCACUAGCGUUUCAUAUGAAAGCCUGAAAAGGCAUAUCCCUCUGUAUACCACUCAUUGGCCAGAACUGGUCACAGCAGGCAAGGCCGUGGAAUCUUAAUCUCCAAAAGGCAGAGAGUUAGAAAAAAUAAAAGAAAGGCCUGGAGUUCACAUUGUGGUUCAGCAGGUUAAAAACACGACUGGUAUCCAUGAGGAUGCGGGUUUGAUCCCUGGCCUUGC
RNAcentral lists this long non-coding RNA (2445 nucleotides) under Sus scrofa (pig). RNAcentral describes it as "lncRNA (ENSSSCG00050019380.1)". The record is from RNAcentral. Lineage: Eukaryota; Metazoa; Chordata; Mammalia; Artiodactyla; Suidae.